GUUAAGGCUGUGAUAGAUUGGCCAAGUCCAGAUUUCUGGGGUCUGGGAUCUGCUGAAGGCUGUGAUGUACAAGAUUUAGACCGUGCCAAACUUCAUCAGCUCGGCUGUGGUUCAGCAGCUGCUCGCAGCAUGAGAAGUAUGUUCCAGUCCACAGACACAUGAUGGUGCAUCUGUGUGAAGGUGGUGGAGUACAUACUGGACCACAACGCUUGUCUGCUGCCGGCGUACUUCGCUGAUCAGGAAGCUGUAUCCUGAGCUGUUGGGCAGCCUGAUAUCUGACUUCUUUGAUAGUUUCUGACCGACCGCCCACAUUAACUCCAUCUGCAGUAGGACACAUCCACACAUCCUUGUCUCAGUGUCCCAUGAGCCUCUGCGGCAGUUUCACAUGUCUGAAUGUGUUUCAGGGCGCUGCCGUCUUCUGCCAGUGGUUAAUAAUUCUGGGGCUAUUUGUAACUCGUGGAAACUGGACCCGAGCACUCUCUGCUUCCCGCUGAGGGGCAUGCUACCAUACGAUAAGAUACCGCUCUCGACCUCGCAGAAGAACAGUGAAGCUCAUGUGAGAACGGACACUGCUCAUGGUUUCCCUAAAUCAAAAGAAUCAUAAAACAUGUCAAAUUGUGGACAGGUGCAUCCAGAUAAUUUGUUAAUGCUGGCACAAAGAUCCUGAAGUUACUGUGAUUGAUUGGUUAAUCAGUGCACAGGGUUAAUAAUGAUUAAUCACACUUCUCAUAAACACAGGAUCCAUGCCAGAACUGUUUGUGCUUCCUCACAUAAUCUUUCAGGGAUCAGUUGCUAAAAGAAUCAGAAUCAGUGACGUAAUACAUCAUGAAACCUUAUCACAUAGAAAAAAUAAAAUAAAAUAUACCAUAAACACAUGAAUAGAAAAGAAAUAAAAAAAACACCCCUUAACUCUAUGACUUCACAUUAAACCCUGCUUCAUCAUUAACGGUGAUAAAGUCUGAAGAGUAACAAUCCAGAAUAACUCUCACUGGCACAUUCACUUUUUCUGGACCACAAAAGUGAUUCAAAGAGAGAAAAUGGGCUGCAGCAGAGUAAUUAAGAUCUUUUCUUCCGAUAGAAGACAUAGAGACUGCGAGGACAACGAAUCAGAUGCCGACACAUGCCGAGGCACAAGUAAUAGCAGAGUGAAUUCUGUAGUUUUUUUCUGGUUCUCGGAGGACAAAAAAAAAGGACGUUUUAAUCCUAUUAUUACAAUGUGUAGAUUGUCACAGGGAUCAUUUCCAUUCAGUGAGGGACUAGGAGUUAAACUCUGAAAGCAUGCAUGCACUAACUAGUCUUUCAGAUUUCUCACAUGUUUAUAUACAGUCAACAGAGGGUGCAGAAACAGCAUUGCCUCCGGAUCCGAAGAUAAUACCUGACAUUCUGUGACAGGGCUAUUUAAAACUGAUCUUAUCAGAUUAGACACGGGUGAAAAGGAUGCAUUGAACACUUUGUCGACCCAUUCAGAUGGGUAAUCUCUUUCUAAAAUGGUCUUUUUCAUGAUUAUCAAUUUCCCAAUAAAGUCUGAUUCAGAAUGACAAAUCCUCCUCCCUUUUUUUAAGAGGAGGAACCAAUGAGGCCCUUAGGAUUUUGAAAAAACGGACUUUAUAAUAUAUAUUGCAUCCAGGGAGCUGAAUAAUGACAUCACUGAAUUCAAUGAUGAACUUCCU
This is a long non-coding RNA of Carassius auratus (goldfish), 1670 nucleotides long. RefSeq lists it as uncharacterized. The transcript is spliced from 3 exons. Lineage: Eukaryota; Metazoa; Chordata; Actinopteri; Cypriniformes; Cyprinidae. The record is from RefSeq and is a predicted model, not a curated record.